Molecule: ribosomal RNA, 2794 nt
Filed under: Escherichia coli
Lineage: Bacteria; Pseudomonadati; Pseudomonadota; Gammaproteobacteria; Enterobacterales; Enterobacteriaceae
Description: partial 23S ribosomal RNA
Rfam family: Bacterial large subunit ribosomal RNA
Source: RNAcentral
GGUUAAGCGACUAAGCGUACACGGUGGAUGCCCUGGCAGUCAGAGGCGAUGAAGGACGUGCUAAUCUGCGAUAAGCGUCGGUAAGGUGAUAUGAACCGUUAUAACCGGCGAUUUCCGAAUGGGGAAACCCAGUGUGUUUCGACACACUAUCAUUAACUGAAUCCAUAGGUUAAUGAGGCGAACCGGGGGAACUGAAACAUCUAAGUACCCCGAGGAAAAGAAAUCAACCGAGAUUCCCCCAGUAGCGGCGAGCGAACGGGGAGCAGCCCAGAGCCUGAAUCAGUAUGUGUGUUAGUGGAAGCGUCUGGAAAGGCGCGCGAUACAGGGUGACAGCCCCGUACACAAAAAUGCACAUGCUGUGAGCUCGAUGAGUAGGGCGGGACACGUGGUAUCCUGUCUGAAUAUGGGGGGACCAUCCUCCAAGGCUAAAUACUCCUGACUGACCGAUAGUGAACCAGUACCGUGAGGGAAAGGCGAAAAGAACCCCGGCGAGGGGAGUGAAAAAGAACCUGAAACCGUGUACGUACAAGCAGUGGGAGCACGCUUAGGCGUGUGACUGCGUACCUUUUGUAUAAUGGGUCAGCGACUUAUAUUCUGUAGCAAGGUUAACCGAAUAGGGGAGCCGAAGGGAAACCGAGUCUUAACUGGGCGUUAAGUUGCAGGGUAUAGACCCGAAACCCGGUGAUCUAGCCAUGGGCAGGUUGAAGGUUGGGUAACACUAACUGGAGGACCGAACCGACUAAUGUUGAAAAAUUAGCGGAUGACUUGUGGCUGGGGGUGAAAGGCCAAUCAAACCGGGAGAUAGCUGGUUCUCCCCGAAAGCUAUUUAGGUAGCGCCUCGUGAAUUCAUCUCCGGGGGUAGAGCACUGUUUCGGCAAGGGGGUCAUCCCGACUUACCAACCCGAUGCAAACUGCGAAUACCGGAGAAUGUUAUCACGGGAGACACACGGCGGGUGCUAACGUCCGUCGUGAAGAGGGAAACAACCCAGACCGCCAGCUAAGGUCCCAAAGUCAUGGUUAAGUGGGAAACGAUGUGGGAAGGCCCAGACAGCCAGGAUGUUGGCUUAGAAGCAGCCAUCAUUUAAAGAAAGCGUAAUAGCUCACUGGUCGAGUCGGCCUGCGCGGAAGAUGUAACGGGGCUAAACCAUGCACCGAAGCUGCGGCAGCGACACUAUGUGUUGUUGGGUAGGGGAGCGUUCUGUAAGCCUGUGAAGGUGUGCUGUGAGGCAUGCUGGAGGUAUCAGAAGUGCGAAUGCUGACAUAAGUAACGAUAAAGCGGGUGAAAAGCCCGCUCGCCGGAAGACCAAGGGUUCCUGUCCAACGUUAAUCGGGGCAGGGUGAGUCGACCCCUAAGGCGAGGCCGAAAGGCGUAGUCGAUGGGAAACAGGUUAAUAUUCCUGUACUUGGUGUUACUGCGAAGGGGGGACGGAGAAGGCUAUGUUGGCCGGGCGACGGUUGUCCCGGUUUAAGCGUGUAGGCUGGUUUUCCAGGCAAAUCCGGAAAAUCAAGGCUGAGGCGUGAUGACGAGGCACUACGGUGCUGAAGCAACAAAUGCCCUGCUUCCAGGAAAAGCCUCUAAGCAUCAGGUAACAUCAAAUCGUACCCCAAACCGACACAGGUGGUCAGGUAGAGAAUACCAAGGCGCUUGAGAGAACUCGGGUGAAGGAACUAGGCAAAAUGGUGCCGUAACUUCGGGAGAAGGCACGCUGAUAUGUAGGUGAAGUCCCUCGCGGAUGGAGCUGAAAUCAGUCGAAGAUACCAGCUGGCUGCAACUGUUUAUUAAAAACACAGCACUGUGCAAACACGAAAGUGGACGUAUACGGUGUGACGCCUGCCCGGUGCCGGAAGGUUAAUUGAUGGGGUUAGCCGCAAGGCGAAGCUCUUGAUCGAAGCCCCGGUAAACGGCGGCCGUAACUAUAACGGUCCUAAGGUAGCGAAAUUCCUUGUCGGGUAAGUUCCGACCUGCACGAAUGGCGUAAUGAUGGCCAGGCUGUCUCCACCCGAGACUCAGUGAAAUUGAACUCGCUGUGAAGAUGCAGUGUACCCGCGGCAAGACGGAAAGACCCCGUGAACCUUUACUAUAGCUUGACACUGAACAUUGAGCCUUGAUGUGUAGGAUAGGUGGGAGGCUUAGAAGUGUGGACGCCAGUCUGCAUGGAGCCGACCUUGAAAUACCACCCUUUAAUGUUUGAUGUUCUAACGUUGACCCGUAAUCCGGGUUGCGGACAGUGUCUGGUGGGUAGUUUGACUGGGGCGGUCUCCUCCUAAAGAGUAACGGAGGAGCACGAAGGUUGGCUAAUCCUGGUCGGACAUCAGGAGGUUAGUGCAAUGGCAUAAGCCAGCUUGACUGCGAGCGUGACGGCGCGAGCAGGUGCGAAAGCAGGUCAUAGUGAUCCGGUGGUUCUGAAUGGAAGGGCCAUCGCUCAACGGAUAAAAGGUACUCCGGGGAUAACAGGCUGAUACCGCCCAAGAGUUCAUAUCGACGGCGGUGUUUGGCACCUCGAUGUCGGCUCAUCACAUCCUGGGGCUGAAGUAGGUCCCAAGGGUAUGGCUGUUCGCCAUUUAAAGUGGUACGCGAGCUGGGUUUAGAACGUCGUGAGACAGUUCGGUCCCUAUCUGCCGUGGGCGCUGGAGAACUGAGGGGGGCUGCUCCUAGUACGAGAGGACCGGAGUGGACGCAUCACUGGUGUUCGGGUUGUCAUGCCAAUGGCACUGCCCGGUAGCUAAAUGCGGAAGAGAUAAGUGCUGAAAGCAUCUAAGCACGAAACUUGCCCCGAGAUGAGUUCUCCCUGAC